Molecule: non-coding RNA, 184 nt
Filed under: Actinomycetes bacterium
Lineage: Bacteria; Bacillati; Actinomycetota; Actinomycetes
Description: 6S RNA
Rfam family: 6S / SsrS RNA
About the family: E. coli 6S RNA was the first non coding RNA to be sequenced, but its function was unknown until recently.
Source: RNAcentral
GAUACGCUGUUUGGUGCGUAAUUAGAGUUAAUUUUUGUGCCAACAAAUUAACUUUGGAAGCCCAAACUUCAUCUGCGGCGUAAAUGCCCGUAUCAAACGGGACUUACAAAACAGCUAGGAGGGCAUCCACCUGCUGAGGCAGGGCAUAAAAAACUUCCAACGAUUACGGCCAAAUGGGGUAUCC